AUUGAACGCUGGCGGCAUGCCUUACACAUGCAAGUCGAACGGCAGCACGGGUGCUUGCACCUGGUGGCGAGUGGCGAACGGGUGAGUAAUACAUCGGAACGUACCUUAUCGUGGGGGGUAACGCAGCGAAAGCUGUGCUAAUACCGCAUACGCCCUGAGGGGGAAAGCGGGGGAUCGAAAGACCUCGCGCGAUUAGAGCGGCCGAUGCCUGAUUAGCUUGUUGGUGGGGUAAAAGCCCACCGAGGCGACGAUCAGUAGCUGGUCUGAGAGGACGAUCAGCCACACUGGGACUGAGACACGGCCCAGACUCCUACGGGAGGCAGCAGUGGGGAAUUUUGGACAAUGGGGGAAACCCUGAUCCAGCAAUGCCGCGUGAGUGAAGAAGGCCUUCGGGUUGUAAAGCUCUUUUGUCAGGGAAGAAACACCGGCUCUAACACAGUCCGGGAAUGACGGUACCUGAAGAAUAAGCACCGGCUAACUACGUGCCAGCCGCCGCCGUAA
Molecule: ribosomal RNA, 501 nt
Filed under: uncultured bacterium
Lineage: Bacteria
Description: partial 16S ribosomal RNA
Rfam family: Bacterial small subunit ribosomal RNA
Source: RNAcentral